RNA transcript from Cylas formicarius (sweet potato weevil), 1589 nucleotides. RefSeq lists it as uncharacterized. The record is from RefSeq and is a predicted model, not a curated record. NCBI's taxonomy places the organism in Eukaryota, Metazoa, Arthropoda, Insecta, Coleoptera, Brentidae. The transcript is spliced from 5 exons.
CGUGGCGUAGUACAUCAAGAAUUCUUGCCACAAGGCCGUAUGGUCAAUAAAGAGCGUUACCUUGAAGUUAUGCGCCAUUUGCGAGAACCAAUAACAGGAAAAUGUCUGGAAUUGUGGGAAAACAAUUCAUGGAUUUUGCAUGACGAUAAUGCACCUGCUCAUUCAUCGUUGCUUGUGUCUUUGUCUAAUUUUUUUGCCAAAAACAAAACCCCAGCCACCAUAUUCACCGGAUAUGGCCCCUGUGACUUUUUCCUGUUCCCAAAACUCAAAAAACCCAUGAAAGGAAGGAGGUUUGGAAUUAUUGAGGAGAUAAAGAAGAAAUCGCUGGAAGAACUCAAGGCUAUACCAGAAAAUGCUUACCACAAGUACUCCGAGGAUUGGAAAAAACGUGGGGCAUUUCUCUGCUAUCGUUGUCACCAGACAUCCAAAACCUGCAACGAAGGUGACGUCAGAUCUCUUCAAAAAACAAAUUGCCCAGAAAAAGCCUGUGCGGUUCUCAAAUAUGAAACUUGGAUGCCGGGGAAAAGAGUGUUAGCAACAAUCCGAGGAUGCGCUUCGGAAGCAAAGAAGGAACUCCAAUCUAGAAUCUCGAAGCCCUCGAACGACACCUUCGUCCACGAAUGCAACACUGAUCUGUGUAACUCAUCAACAAAAAUAUAUUCCCCGCUUUACUUAGCCAUACUCGGAAACAUUAUACAGCUUAUACUGUGUGUACGGUGAUAAGAGGAUUUAUACAUUUCAAAUAAAAUAAAUUGUUUUUAUUGCGUUUUGUAAAAGUCACAAUUAACAACGAGAUCCCAUGUUCCUGCUGUACGACUAAUAUUAAAAAUUAUUUUGAUGUGUGUUACCACAUUGCUAUCAGCCAUACCUACGGUAAAAAUUGAUACACCUCAGGUGGCUAUGAUAUUUUCGCACGACACUUUACGCGUUCAGUGACUCGGGCUGAGAUAAUUUUACGGCUCUCUGGACAAGAGAGUUGAUAACCGAUGACAUCUAAUGGGGAUUCUUGAUCAUGAGGCCAAAUAAUAAAAGCAUCAUCGACGUAGUGUUUCCGUAAUUCAAAGGCUCAUAAAUAUAUUCGCAAUGACUGGUGAUAAUGGAGAACCCAUAGCUGUUCCCGACGUUUGUUCAAAAAUUUGACUGUUAUAAGAAAAAUAUGGUUCAGACAAGCAUUUUUCGAUUAAGGAAUAGGGACUUCAGUAAAGAGGGAUUCUACGUCGAAACUAACCAGCAUCUUAUGGAACUAAUGUAAUGCUUUUUAAAAGUGCAAUGAAAUUAAAGGAAUUAAGUACGAAACUAUCAGUUUUUCCUGUAAAGGGUUUUAAUAUAGAAGCUAGAUAUUUUGCUAGAGAAUAUGUUGGAGAACCAAUGCUGGUUUGUGAAUUUUAGGGAGUUUGUAGAGACGAGGAAUUUUAGAGUCAUGAGAGGUGACAGACUUUUCAACAGAUUUAAGUUUGCGUUGGGUAGAUGGAAGAUCAAUCUUUUCCUCCUAUUCAUUAGUGUUCAUAACCACCGUAGCAUAUUAUUUAUCUGCUUUUAGCAUUACGAUGUCUGGAUCAGUAAAAUCUAGCAAGUUCGACUCAACAACA